Molecule: ribosomal RNA, 302 nt
Filed under: uncultured Sphingobacteriales bacterium
Lineage: Bacteria; Pseudomonadati; Bacteroidota; Sphingobacteriia; Sphingobacteriales
Description: bacterial SSU rRNA
Rfam family: Bacterial small subunit ribosomal RNA
Source: RNAcentral
UUAAGUCCCAUAACGAGCGCAACCCUUACCGUUAGUUACCAUCAGGUUAAGCUGGGGACUCUAGCGGGACUGCACCGUAAGGUGAGGAGGAAGUGGGGAUGACGUCAAAUCAGCAGGCCCUUAUGGUCCAGGGCUACACACGUGUUACAAUGGCCAGUACAAAGGGCAGCUACCGGGUGACCGGAUGCUAAUCUCUAAAGCUGGUCUCAGUUCGGAUCGAAGUCUGCAACCCGACUUCGUGAAGCUGGAUUCGCUAGUAAUCGCGCAUCAGCCAUGGCGCGGUGAAUACGUUCCCGGGCCUU